This 277-nucleotide long non-coding RNA is filed under the name Pan troglodytes (chimpanzee). RNAcentral's name for it is "lincRNA". Lineage: Eukaryota; Metazoa; Chordata; Mammalia; Primates; Hominidae. The record is from RNAcentral.
CUUAGGUGGUGGUAGAGGUGUGGGCAGAAUAUCAGGAAAUGCUUCCCACAGGAAUUGAUGCGCAUGAGGAAUCCUGGAGAAUAAGAAGCACUGUUAUCAGCUGUGACAGAGCCCUUCCUGCCUCCUGUCUGCCAGCGUACUAGGGACCAUGCCUCUGUGAAGGACUCCAAUUUCUCUUUACAAGAAUCAACAUGGAGCAAACUCCAGUUGCCUACUGCCUAGCAUUCUUGCUAAGAUACGUAUGUAAAUAAAAUGUCUUUAUAUACCUGAGAAUUUA